GUUCCUCAGCAUCUUGCAGGCGCUGGGCCAGUUUCUUUCUGAAAAGAGCCACAUUUAAUAAAGUGAAUGACCAGGAAAAGAAUCCAGCACAAGGGAAUCUAAUAUUUUGAGGACAAAGCUUUUAUUUCUUCAAAGCCCUGAAAUCUUUGUAUUUGUGAAAAAAUAGUGAUGAAUGUUGGAGGGAAUGCGGGGAAAACUGGGACACUGAAGCAUUGUUGGUGAAGUUGUGAAUGAAUCCAACCAUUCUGGAGAGCAAUCUGGAAUUAUGCCCAAAAAGUUAUCAAACUGUGCAUACCCUUUGAUCUAGCAGUGCUAUUACUGGGCUUAUAUCCCAAAGAGAUAUUAAAGAAGGAAAAAGGACCUACCUGUAUGUGCCAAAAUGUUUGUGACAGCCCUGUUUGUAGUGGCUAGAAACUGGAAAAUGAAUGGAUGCCCAUCAAUUGGAGAAUGGUUGGGUAAAUUGUGGUAUAUGAAUGUUAUGGAAUAUUAUUGUUCUAUAAGAAAUGAGCAGCAGGAUGAAUACAGAGAAGCUUGGAGAGACAUACAUGAACUGAUGCUAAGUGAAAUGAGCAGAACCAAGAGAUCAUUAUAUACUUCAACAACGAUACUGUAUGAGGAUGUAUUCUGAUGGAAGUGGAUUUCUUUGACAAAGAGAUCUACCUCAGUUCCAACUGAUCAAUGAUGGACAGAAGCAGCUAUAUGCAAAGAAAAAACACUGGGAAAGGAAUGUAAACUGUGUGCAUUUUUGUUUUUCUUCCCGGGUUAUUUCUACCUUCUGAAUCCAAUUCUCCCUGUGCAACAAGAGAACUGUUUGGUUCUGCAUACAUAUAUUAUAUCUAGGAUAUACUGCAACAUAUUUAACAUAUUUGGAUUGCUUGCCAUCUGGGAGAGGGGGUGGAAGGAGGGAGGGGAAAAAUUGGAACAGAAGUGAGUGCAAGGGAUAAUGUUGUAAAAAAUUAUCCUGGCAUGGGUUCUGUCAAUAAAAAGUUAUUAUAAAAAAUUAAAUUAAAUUAAAGUUAUAAAUUUAAAAAAUAUAUCAUAUCUUAUAUGGUAGUGAUAGAAUAAUAAAUGAGAGUAGACACUUAAUAAAAACUAAAUGAUUGUUAUUAUUAAAUAAACCUGAUUGCUGCAGAAU
Antechinus flavipes (yellow-footed antechinus) is the source of this 1135-nucleotide long non-coding RNA. RefSeq lists it as uncharacterized. The transcript is spliced from 3 exons. NCBI's taxonomy places the organism in Eukaryota, Metazoa, Chordata, Mammalia, Dasyuromorphia, Dasyuridae. The record is from RefSeq and is a predicted model, not a curated record.